CCCUUAGAUGUUCUGGGCCGCACGCGCGCUACACUGACGGAGGCAGCGAGCGUGUCCUUCGCCGGCAGGUGCGGGCAAUCUUGCGAGCCUCCGUCGUGCUGGGGAUAGAUGGUUGCAAUUGUCGAUCUUGAACGAGGAAUUCCUAGUAAGCGCGAGUCAUCAGCUCGCGCUGAUUACGUCCCUGCCCUUUGUACACACCGCCCGUCGCUACUACAGAGUGCCCGUGUCCAAGAAACGGUCGGACCUGUGCGGCCUCUCCGGGCGACCGGAGGGCCGUUACGGGGAAGACCCUUUAUUUGACGCGGGUCGAUGAAGUAAAAGUCGUAACA
This 329-nucleotide ribosomal RNA is filed under the name uncultured eukaryote. RNAcentral describes it as "partial 18S ribosomal RNA". It matches the Rfam family "Eukaryotic small subunit ribosomal RNA", at positions 1470 to 1796 of the family's 1831-position model. The record is from RNAcentral.